GACGAACGCUGGCGGCGUGCCUAGUACAUGCAAGUAGAACGCUGAAGGAGGAGCUUGCUUCUCUGGAUGAGUUGCGAACGGGUGAGUAACGCGUAGGUAACCUGCCUGGUAGCGGGGGAUAACUAUUGGAAACGAUAGCUAAUACCGCAUAAGAGUAGAUGUCGCAUGACAUUUGCUUAAAAGGUGCAAUUGCAUCACUACCAGAUGGACCUGCGUUGUAUUAGCUAGUUGGUGAGGUAACGGCUCACCAAGGCAACGAUACAUAGCCGACCUGAGAGGGUGAUCGGCCACACUGGGACUGAGACACGGCCCAGACUCCUACGGGAGGCAGCAGUAGGGAAUCUUCGGCAAUGGACGGAAGUCUGACCGAGCAACGCCGCGUGAGUGAAGAAGGUUUUCGGAUCGUAAAGCUCUGUUGUAAGAGAAGAACGAGUGUGAGAGUGGAAAGUUCACACUGUGACGGUAUCUUACCAGAAAGGGACGGCUAACUACG
This 493-nucleotide ribosomal RNA is filed under the name uncultured bacterium. RNAcentral describes it as "partial 16S ribosomal RNA". It matches the Rfam family "Bacterial small subunit ribosomal RNA", at positions 28 to 505 of the family's 1533-position model. The record is from RNAcentral.